This 470-nucleotide ribosomal RNA is filed under the name uncultured bacterium. RNAcentral describes it as "bacterial SSU rRNA". It matches the Rfam family "Bacterial small subunit ribosomal RNA", at positions 28 to 507 of the family's 1533-position model. The record is from RNAcentral.
GACGAACGCUGGCGGCGUGGAUUAGGCAUGCAAGUCGAACGGUGGUUAUUUUGUAGUAAUACGAAGUGAUCAUAGUGGCGAACGGGUGAGUAACGCGUUGGUGAUCUGCCUCGAAGUGUGGAAUAACGUUCCGAAAGGAGCACUAAUACCGCAUAGUCUUCCAGUUUUUAGAAAGCCGGAAGUAAAGGAUUUAUUCGCUUCGAGAGGGGCCUGCGUCCCAUCAGCUAGUUGGUAAGGUAACGGCUUACCAAGGCUAUGACGGGUAGGGGACCUGAGAGGGUGGCCCCCCACAAUGGAACUGAAACACGGUCCAUACACCUACGGGUGGCAGCAGUAGGGAAUAUUAGUAAUGGGCGAAAGCCUGAACUAGCGACACCGCGUGUGCGAAGAAGGCCUUCGGGUUGUAAAGCACUUUUAGAGAGGAUGAGGAAGGACGGUACGUCUCUGAAUAAGUCUCGGCUAACUACGUG